Beta vulgaris subsp. vulgaris (sugar beet) is the source of this 107-nucleotide non-coding RNA. Lineage: Eukaryota; Viridiplantae; Streptophyta; Magnoliopsida; Caryophyllales; Amaranthaceae. The record is from Rfam.
AUACCGUGGUGUGGGCAUUGACGCUGAAAAGCCUUGUAUCUAUGUCAUGAAUCUUAGAGAGACUCCGAUUCAUGUUUUUGAAAACCAGAUAUUUCAUUUAUGAACAU